UACAGAGGUGGCAAGCGUUGUUCGGAAUUACUGGGCGUAAAGGGCGCGUAGGCGGCCUUCUUAGUCGGACGUGAAAUCCCCAGGCUCAACUUGGGAACUGCGUCCGAUACUGGAUGGCUUGAGUGCGGGAGAGGGAUGUGGAAUUCCAGGUGUAGCGGUGAAAUGCGUAGAUAUCUGGAGGAACACCGGUGGCGAAGGCGGCAUCCUGGACCGACACUGACGCUGAGGCGCGAAAGCUAGGGGAGCAAACGGG
This 253-nucleotide ribosomal RNA is filed under the name uncultured bacterium. Its description in RNAcentral is "partial 16S ribosomal RNA". It matches the Rfam family "Bacterial small subunit ribosomal RNA", at positions 524 to 776 of the family's 1533-position model. The record is from RNAcentral.